CAGGAGGCAGAGAGAACCUCUUUCAUCCACACAAAGCCCAAUUCAAGACAUUUCGUUUGUUUGCUUCCAGGCUUCGGGAUCCGUGAGCACUGAGGGAGGACGAAAUGGACCACAAGCCUGGAAUCCGAAAGCCGAGAUAGACACAUGCCACGCUGGACCACAUCCCAUGUUGAGAAAUCCCACAUGCAGGCGUGGAAGUGCGCCGGAGUCCUUCAGCUCCUCGAUAUCAUCCAUCACUAUCACUUCCAGGAAGGUCACGCACACAAACUCCAGGCCUCUGAGUCCAGCGAUGAAUAGCCUCGCCGAUGGACACAGAAAAGCUUUAGUGGUCAAAGUCACUGAACAGAGGACGAAAAGCACUUCCAGUCUGCCCAUCGCCUCGACCUCUGGCUCUGAUCAUGAAGAGAUGGACCAUGGUGUGGUCCUGAGAAGAAAGGCAACCAUUGUGAAAAUGACCGAACAGAGAGAGCGUUUCAGUCCAGUGAAAUACAGACACAGCUACACUGAAGGACUCCAUAAUGAAUCUAAAGUCAGUCCCUCACCAUUAAACCAACCGUUAACUAUAUCUCUAGAGCCAGGAGGAAACCAGUGGAGGUCCCAGCACAGAUCUAGCCUAUCUCUCUACCUCAACAACCCAAACGAUAGCAGCGCAGUAGGGGAGAGCAACACCAAAACACACAAGCCACCUCGAAGGCCUCUCAGCUGCGACGCAAGCCUGUUUAACCACACAGAACUUGGCAGUAAUGCAGUUAUACAGCCAGCGUUUCACAACAAGAGCUCUCCUGUUCCCCAGAAGACAAAUAUUGACCUUGUUAGUUCCAGCAGCAGCGAAGCAAGAAGGCGCUGGGCCUCCGGUGGCGAGGAUGGGAGCAAGAGGAAAGAGUGGGAUCGUGAGGAACCUAUUUCAGGAAUCAAUCCUCUCACGCUACUAAAAGCAGCAGAUAACUCGGCUGAUCUGAGCGCAGACGCCGUCCUGGCCCUGAACGCCGCUGCGGUUAUUGCCAACAUAAAGCUGCAGGCCCAGCAGAGACGAACUACAUCCCACACAGCAACAGCAGUGUGUUUAACAAAGGAUAGAGGGCAAAAUGAACACAGAGAGCUCAAAGAAGAGGCUGCUGGUGCUGAUGGAAGGAACAAAACAUGUCCAGCAGAUCAAUGUGUGGAUUUUGUCCCAUUCGAGUCCCAAAAUGACCUUUCUGAAACUGCUUUGGCUCCACUGUCACUUAGUGAGGCUUUAGUGAUCAGACGGCCCGAUUUCAUCCAGCGCUCACAGGCCAGGGUUCGAGCGCUCGAGAGGAGGUCGCAGGAGAGGCAGAACUCCCACAGCUCACCGCAGACAGUCGAGAGCGGAGGAAGCCUUGUGAAAUCCAAAGACAGAAGCAUCAUGGGAAAGAGUCUACAGCUGCGGUCCAGGAGCCACAGAGUUUUGCCGGCCUGAUUGUGCUUUUCACAGCUUAUUUGUUUUGUUGCUGCUGAAUGAAACAUCAUCCGAUUAGAUCUGGUCUCACUGUGCUUCCGAAUUAAAGCUCCCCGAUGCACGGCUGGAUGGAUUCUGCACGAAUGAGUGCCUGUGUUCAUAAGUUUGAUUUAAACCGCCAAUGACUGAAAAACAAAGCCAGUUAUGUCAGAUAACUGUGUAAAUAUUCAAUGUUUGUUUCUUAAAGGGGUCAUAUGAUGCUGCUAAAAAAAUAUUAUGUUGUGUAUUUGGUGUAAUGAAAUGUGUUAAUGCAGUUUAAGG
This is a long non-coding RNA of Cyprinus carpio carpio, 1738 nucleotides long. The record is from Ensembl. Lineage: Eukaryota; Metazoa; Chordata; Actinopteri; Cypriniformes; Cyprinidae.